CGGUUAAUUCGAAUUAACGUUACAAUUUUAAUGUGAUUUUAAAAUGGUGUAAUUACGUGUUUAUCUGCGUUACCAUGGUUACUGGCGCCUCUCACAGACCAACGCGCGCGUUUUCUAAACAGCGUCUUUAGGAGCGGUUCAGCUGCGCUACCUCUCGUCACCUCUGUCUCCUCACCAAGAUAUUUAGGUUAGAAAGCCAUGCCUAAUAUUAGAAAAACGAAGCGUUCCACCAGAGGCUCAGUGGUUGUCCACUCUGAAGGAACUGUAGUUACACCAGCUGCAGCACCAACUGCACAAUUAAGCAUUGAUAAACUCUGUGAAGAGACCAAACGGCUUAAUGAGGAAACAAGGUUCUUGAAAGAGGAGAACCGCCUCUUAAAAGAAGAAAAUCGACUCCUUAAAGAAGAAAAGGAUUUCCUUCGUGAGCAACUUGGCAAGAAAGAGACUGGGAGUACUUCUAAAUCUGCA
Long non-coding RNA from Astyanax mexicanus (Mexican tetra), 468 nucleotides. RefSeq lists it as uncharacterized. The record is from RefSeq and is a predicted model, not a curated record. NCBI's taxonomy places the organism in Eukaryota, Metazoa, Chordata, Actinopteri, Characiformes, Acestrorhamphidae. The transcript has 3 exons.